This 477-nucleotide ribosomal RNA is filed under the name uncultured bacterium. Its description in RNAcentral is "partial 16S ribosomal RNA". It matches the Rfam family "Bacterial small subunit ribosomal RNA", at positions 28 to 507 of the family's 1533-position model. The record is from RNAcentral.
GAUUAACGCUGGCGGCGUGCAUAACACAUGCAAGUCGAAUGAUGAAACGUAGUAGACUUCUUUGGAAAGAUACUAAGCGGAUUAGUGGCGAACGGGUGAGUAACGCGUGAGUAACCUGCCUUACACAAGGGGAUAGCCUUUGGAAACGAAGAAUAAUACCCUAUAAAACCAUAAAAGCACAUGCUAGAAUGGUCAAAGUGCUAGCGUUGUAAGAUGGACUUGCGUCUGAUUAGCUAGAUGGUGAGAUCAAAGCUCACCAAGGCAACGAUCAGUAGCCGGCUUGAGAGAGUGGACGGCCACAUUGGAACUGAGACACGGGCCAGACUACUACGGGAUGCAGCAGUGGGGAAUUUUUCACAAUGCAGGGAACCGUGAUGCAGCGAGGCCUCGUGAUUUAGAAGGCCUUCGGGUUGUAAAAAUCUUUUGUAUAGUAAGAAAAUGACAGUACUAUACGAAUAAGGUCCGGCUAAUUACGUG